Potamilus streckersoni is the source of this 75-nucleotide non-coding RNA. The record is from the annotation of a GenBank genome assembly. NCBI's taxonomy places the organism in Eukaryota, Metazoa, Mollusca, Bivalvia, Unionida, Unionidae.
UCUCUGGUGGCUUAAGUGGUUAGAGCGUCUGCCUCGGAUGCGGAAGUUCGUGGGUUCGAACCGAGGCCAAGUGAU